AUGUGACUUGUGGGCUUCCCUUUGUCAUCCUUUGCCUAGGGUUCUGAGAGGGGCAGGGACAGCAAAGGGGUGCUCAGUUGUCACCUCU
Non-coding RNA from Canis lupus familiaris (dog), 88 nucleotides. NCBI's taxonomy places the organism in Eukaryota, Metazoa, Chordata, Mammalia, Carnivora, Canidae. The record is from Rfam.